GGGAAAGUGGCUGAGCGGUUAAAAGCGGCAGACUGUAAAUCUGUUGAUUCAUAUCAUCGUAAGUUCAAAUCUUACCUUUCCC
This 82-nucleotide transfer RNA is filed under the name Tetraselmis subcordiformis. RNAcentral's name for it is "tRNA Tyrosin (tac)". It matches the Rfam family "tRNA". From Rfam's summary of the family: Transfer RNA (tRNA) molecules are approximately 80 nucleotides in length. Their secondary structure includes four short double-helical elements and three loops (D, anti-codon, and T loops). Lineage: Eukaryota; Viridiplantae; Chlorophyta; Chlorodendrophyceae; Chlorodendrales; Chlorodendraceae. The record is from RNAcentral.